RNAcentral lists this ribosomal RNA (252 nucleotides) under uncultured prokaryote. Its description in RNAcentral is "partial 16S ribosomal RNA". It matches the Rfam family "Bacterial small subunit ribosomal RNA", at positions 525 to 775 of the family's 1533-position model. The record is from RNAcentral.
ACAGAGGCGGCAAGCGUUGUUCGGAAUUAUUGGGCGUAAAGAGCACGUAGGCGGCCUUGCAAGUCGGUUGUGAAAGCCUUCCGCUUAACGGAAGAAUGGCGGUCGAAACUGCAUGGCUUGAGUGCGGGAGGGGAGAGUGGAACUUCUGGUGGAGCGGUGAAAUGCGUAGAUAUCAGAAGGAACGCCGGCGGCGAAAGCGACUCUCUGGUCCGAAACUGACGCUGAGUGUGCGAAAGCUAGGGGAGCAAACGG